Chinchilla lanigera (long-tailed chinchilla) is the source of this 1079-nucleotide non-coding RNA. The record is from the annotation of a RefSeq genome assembly. Lineage: Eukaryota; Metazoa; Chordata; Mammalia; Rodentia; Chinchillidae.
GGUUAUUAUAGUGCAACGAAAACCUUCGGUAGAGGAACAAAACUUGUCGUCACAGAUAAAAGUUUUAACAUAGACACUUCCCCCAAGCCCACUAUGUUUCUUCCUUCAAUUACUGAAAUAGAUCUCCAUAAGACUGGGACAUACCUUUGUCUGCUGGAAAAUUUUUUCCCUGAAGAUAUUAAGGUAUAUUGGAAAGAAAAAGAUAGCAAUACGAUUCUUAAGUCCCAGCAGGGAGACACCAUGAAAACUAAAGACACCUACAUGAAGUUUAGCUGGCUAACAGUGACUGGAAAUUCAAUGGCUAAAGAGCACAGAUGUAUCGUCAAACAUGAGAAAAACAAAGGAGGAGUUGAAAAUGAGAUUCUCUUUCCUUCAAUAAAUACAGUUGUUCACACUAUUAAUUCCAGAAAAGCUGGAUCGCAAGAUAAAAAUGCUGUUGCCACUAUUAAUCCCAUGGAAGCCAAUCUGAAAGAUGAAAUUGCUGUCAAUAUUACUGAACAAGGUGAUCCCUUGAAAGAUGCAAAUGGUUUGCUGAGCCUGCAGCUCACCAAUACCUCUGCCUACUACACCUACCUCCUGCUGAUGCUCAAGAGCGCCCUCUAUGGGGCCCUAGUCACCUUCUGUCUGUGCAGAAUGUCAGCUGUCUGCUGCAACGUAAAGACCACCUGACAGAUGGAGGCUCAUGGGACCAUUACAUCUCUACCAUUCGUUCCUGUCCCAAGCAGGAUCUGCUGCGGGUCUACCAAGCUCUCUGGGCUCAAGAUUCUAAAGAUUACAUGCGCAUUAUUCUGUCAUUAUACCACAAGGGUUUCCCAAAAAGUGGGCAAACUCCACGACUUCCCUCUGUCAUAGCAAGGCUUAACCCACGGGGGCCCUGAGUCCCAUCCCUCCACAGUCCCCACAACCCCUCCAGCCAGUCCAGGUCCUCAUAGCCUCGGUGUGCUCAGCUCGAUGCUUCUGGUCAGGGUCACCCCUGGAGACCUCCAUUCAACCCACCCUGACAUGGUCUUCUUUGAGAUUGAACUAUGCUUUGAUGUUCAUAAUAGACACAAUAAAAAACAUGCCAAAAGUCUUCACUG